GGAGGAGGAGAGGUGGGGAAUGGGAAUCGGACGCUGGAGAAGAGGAGGCGGUCCGGGUGGGUGCGAUGGAGGUGGCCGGAGUAUCCGGGCCGUUCGUCGGCUGCAAAUAGGGACGAGGAAGGGAGUGGGCCCUGCUGGGCCCCCAAACCUGCCCGUGGACCCGCGGGUUUAGCUGCUUGUAUUUCAGUUUUUUCUUGAAUGAGGAAACUUUGGAUUCUACUAAUAUAUCUUGUUCUUUUGCGAGGGUUGGAAUGUAAAUUUAAAUUUUUUCAAUUUUCGUUGAGGGAUUGGACAGUUCACGGUUAAAAGGAUUCGCCAAACCAAUAGACCGUUUGAUUAUCUUUCAACAUCGUUAUAGCAAAUUCGAGGAGUCACGGGCUAUGAUUGAUCAGCCAAAUGUUUUACGGGCUACUUGGUUUGAGAAAUCACUUUAUAUAGAAUGAAAUGAUCGGUCAUCUAGUGAUUUUGGUGGGAUGAAUCUAUACCUCGUUAUUUUAGGCUUUUAGCUAACUGUGUAUCUCAGUAUCUGCGAGGGAUGAUGCAGUGAAUUGGUGAUGACUGAUGAAUCAGCUUAUUCUGCUCCCAAAACCAAACAAAAAAAAGGUGAAAUAAUGUUAAUCACUUCAUUUCUCAAACAAAAUGUCCCAAUUCAAGCUACAUUUCAUAUUCUUCAACUCUAACUCCAAAGUAUACUGGGGUUAGAGGAAAACCAUGAUUUUUUUUCCGAAAGAUUUUAGCCUGUAAAUUGGCCCAACGUUGACGGUGGAUCCGCAAUGAGACGACGGAGUCACGGAGGCUUCGGUGGGGACGUGGGGUGGCGGCCGGUGGCCGGUGGGGGAUCAACAGCGCGCAGCAGGGUCAGGGGAUGGGCACUGGGCAGCCAUGGCGCGGGGCGUGCUGCGUGCAAGCUAGCUAGGACGGUGAAGGGCGCGGCGGCGCCGUCCAGAGGAAGCAGCAGGAAAAAUUCUUCUGGGAGAUUGUUGUAGAGCUGUAUCUGACGGAAGCUUCUAGAAGAGUACAUCCAAACAUCCGUAUAACUUUCGAGAUAAUCAUAUCACAAUCCAACCACUCGUAGAAUUCGACGAAUACAGUUAGAGCCUCUCAGGAUGCAAAGUAUUUUUCCCUUUCGCCAUUCGUCACCCCACAUCAACAAGAAAAGCAAGAGGAGGUUCAGACUACUAGCUCUACCACGAUGAGCACCGGACGGAAACCACCGAGCAACGUAACCUCAAACGCAAAACAGUCAGAUACUCAGAUAUGGAUCACAACACAACCAGAUAUGUAUGUGCCUGAAAGUGGCAUGGAUCACAAACAACCAGAUAUGGAUGUUUCUGAAAGAGGCGAGCUACUAACAUUCUCAGCGAACAAAACAUGAUAGUACUAGUCUCUUAACAGAAGCAAAGUCUGACAAGAAGUUUUCACCAACACAAUCUUAGGUUAACAACUGCAACAGUGCGCUGUAAACAUAGCAAGCAACCAUUCUUAAACAUCUAAAGCCUCCAAACCUUCUACCCCAUGCUUGCUGAUUUUGAGUGUUGAGAGCAAUCUAAGACCUUGGCUUCUCCUUCUUCUCCUUGAAAAGGGCAAGCAGAGACACGCCCGAGACCUUGACAACCUUGAACCGGACACCAGGAAUAUCUCCCACAGCAUGACCCUUACGACCGAACCCAGCAAUCAACACCUCAUCCUGGACAGAUACACAACAAAAUAGAAGUCAUGCUUCUGAUGCACAAUAGGUUGCAAGACAAGAAUUGAAAGAGAGCUCUGAAUGAAGAAUACAUUUUCCUCAAUGUAGUUCAAGCAACCAUCAUUUGGCACGAAGGCAGCAAUCUUCUUGCCAUUCUUCACAAGCUGAACACGAGCACACUUACGGAUAGCAGAGUUUGGCUGUUUGGCCUCAAUACCACUGCAAUUGAAUCAUUGCCAUUGUCAUUUGUUCAGUUGAGUUCAAAAUAAAGUGACCAAAAUAGCACAGUUCCUGCAUCUGCUUACAUCUUCUCCAGAACGAUGCCCUUGGCAUGAGAUGACCCAGCAAAGGGUUUCUUCCACUCAUUGCCCAAAUGGCUCUUUUUGUAUGCCUUGUCAGCCCACCUUUGGUUCCUGCGGUGGGUCUUGAGCUUGCGCCCAGCUCCCAUACCACGUGUCUUCCUGUAUAAGACAACUUAAACAUGAAUAUUCACAGCUAAAAAAUCAUUACUAAGGGACCAUCAGGUUGAUACACUAGUGAUGAAAGAACAGCUAGAUAAUCAAUAACAGCUCUAUCAUGAAAAGGUCUUGCUGAAAAUUUCAGAUCUCUGAACCAAAUAAACAGUUGGAAUUGCAUGAAAUGAGACAAAAGAUUGCAUCUAAGCAUAGAAGUUCAAAUGCGGCCACAUUUAUCCAUAACCAGUUACCUACAUACAACAGUUUAAAUAAAGAUUAUUCUUCAGAACACGACAUAUCAAGCAGCAAUACAAUUACAAUGUUUACUGAAAUAGCCUAAUUGUUGACUCUUGAAUGGAUUGAACUCUAGUAUCUUGAAGGCCAAAGGCUCACGCUUUUGCUUAAAAACAUAUAAAAUUUCACUACACCAAGGGCAACUCACUGAAAUGUUACAGAAGAAUGAGGAAAGUGUAUGCUACCACGCAUAACUUCCCAGAUCCCAAGUAACCGGAUCAAGAAAGAUUAUAGCUACACGGCAGCAACGGAUUAUUAUCGCUUAUGAGUAUGUUUAGCACUGACGUUUUUGAAUCUGAUCAGCACUGGACCGUCAAUAAGCUUGGGUACAUCAGACUCAAUAACUAGUAAUUCUCGACAAAACAGUCAGACUGAGAUGAAAUCCGCAACAAAGAAUCGAAAAUCACGUCGUAUACUUCCUACCAGGGCAAGAACGCAUCACGCUACGAGAUGCCGACACACCAAACCACACUGGAUUCAUAAUCGCUAAGGCCAGAAAACAGACGACGACAAUAAGAGAUCGCAAGAGCGCGAACAGGAGAGAGUGAACUACCCCAUGUUGACGAAAGUGUUCCGAGCGCUUCGCGGCGGAGGUGGGAGCGGCGGCGGCGAGGAGCGGAGCACGGGCUGGGAGCGGCGGCGGCUGCAAGAGAGGGGUGAUGAGGGGAGGCGAUGGGAUUUAUAUGCGGCGGCUUUGGUGUUAGGGUUUGGCUGUGUGGGUGCCUGCUUUGUGAUCUGUGCUUCUGGAGGGAACCUACGGUCGUGAUGUUGAGGAGGGGAGGGUUGGACACGGUAGACCUGGUCUACCACGUGGAUGCACAGGUAGGCUCUGGAUUUGUACCUCCAUCCUAUAAAGAGUACAAUCCUAAUUAAAAAAAGUUAUAAAAGAGUGAAAUUUCAGAUACAAGACAAAGGUGAAAACCAGAGUGCAAUUUCAUGAUUUGAUUAUCUGCAUGCUGUAAUAACCGACGCUAAGUGAAAACCAAACAACUUGCCUGUCUAAAUAAAUAAGAUUGAGACAAUAAUAAAGGAUUUCAUGAUUAUCUUUCAAUAAUAUUAUUCUAUCUAUCUGAAAAAAAUUAGAAUUGCACUUUUCGUUUGCCAACAACUCUCCCAAGUUGUAUCCACGAGAAAAACCAAAUUGAAGAAAAUUUGAAAGGGUAAUUUUGUUGAUGGACACUCCUUAGUGUUGGCAUUUGUUGGUGGACAUUCUUCAAUUUUGCCUUUGCUGCUAGACACUUCUUAAGUUUUGAUAUUAGCUAGUAGACACUAUGUCUAUUAAAAUAAUCAUUUCUUGCUAUAGAGGGGAGAGAAAAUCAGUGACAGGACAUGUCAUGCUGCAUACAGACAUGUUUUGAGUCGCUAAAUAGACAAUGUAUGAAGUCAAUUAAACCGUAUAUAGGUAAAAGAAGCAUAGAGCCAUACAAAAAAUCAAAAUAAAAUAUAGAUAUGACAAGCUUUAAAUGCUCUCAGCCAUAUUUGACAAAAAUAUAAGUUAAACAAGCCAAAACAUGUUGACAGCCAUUAAGGUUCAUAAUCCUACAUGUUAACAGCCAUUAUAAGAUUCAUAACCCAUGAGAGGUCGAGCUUCUUGGCAAAUCCACGCUGCACAAAUGCUCUUCAUGGCGAUCUUCACUAGUUCAUGGUGCGGAUGGAGGACGACGGGUAGAUGCGGCCGGACGAGCAACGGAGAGAACGGGUUGGGCAGCUCCUGCAAUGCCAAGACGCGGGUCAGGCAGCGGUGGGCACCUCCGGCAUGGGCGGGUUGGGUAGCGACAACUUCUUCACGGAGGCGACAGCGUCUGGUAACAAGGGCGCCGAUUCGGGGGCUCGGUUGCGCCGAUUCAUGGGUUAGGUGUGGUACGACACAGAUUAAUGUUAAGGUGGCACAGGGACAUGGCAGCAUAUCCGUUCAUGAUGGAGUUAGGGGACGGCAGCGCUGGGGCUUGGGCUGCCGUCAGGGGCGGCGGUGCCUCCGUGCGUGUCGUGGGUGGGGAACAGCGUAGCGACUGUACAUCGCAUAUGUGAUGGGAAUCAUUUUGUCGCCUGAAGGAGUUUGGAUGGGCCAGUACGUGUCAGCCAAAUAAAAUCUACGAUUGGUGUGUGAUGGGUCCGCUUAUACUAUUUUCUGCGGCGUGCAUGAAAGCGAUAGCGCCCAAUUCAGCACCACCACAGCACAUGCACGUCAGUACUAUUUUAUCACUGUCACCUCCUCGCAUAUUGCUUUGUGCAUGCACGCACUAAGGCGCAUGCACAUGCAUUUUUCCUUUUUUAUCUUUCUUUAUGUCUUCUUUUAUUUAUUUUCCAAUAUAUUUCUUUUCUUCCUUUUUUAUCUUUUGUUUUUCUUUUCCUCUCACGUUUUUGUUGUUUUUCUUUUCCUUUUUUCUUUCUCUUCCUCCUUUUCUUUUAUUCUUAUCCUUUAUUGUAUUUUUGGUAAUACUAUUUAUUUUCUUUAUUUUUCCCUUCUUUUUUUCUUCUCAUCUUUUCUUUCUUUUGCCUUUUCCUUUAUUUUCGAUUGCUACCGCAUGUAGGCUACUUUCACACCAUAUUCGGUUUCUUUUUCUCAUUCUUUUUUCUUUCUCUCUCUUGUUUCGUUUUACUUUUUAUUAGUUUAAUUCAUGUUUUGUUUUUCUAUUUGAAUUUAGAUUCUCUUCUACAUAUUCCUUCUUGUACGUAAUUUAUCUUGUUUUCCUCAUUGAUUUUAUUUUCCUUUCUACAUUUCUUUAUUUACUUUUACUCCUUCUCUUUCGUAUUUUUAUGACCAUGUGUAUAUUUUUCUUAGUACAUAAUUUCUUUAGCGGUACUUUCAAAAUGAUAUUUUAAAGUAAUCUACUAGAUUUUGGUUGCUUCGUACAUUUUGUUGUUCUAUAUAGACUUAUUAGUUCGCAGUGUAAAAUUAUGUAUUCAAUUUAUAGGUUCAUUCCUUCACGUAGCUGACUCAUUUAUUCACCUUUUAUAGAGUGAAUUGGUUAAUGAUAUAGACUCGUUUAAUUGUUGAAUACUAACUUUUCUUUUUUCUUAUUCUUCUUAUAACAGCUUGUUGGUCAUGUAUAAAAUUUUUUAUUUGCCUAUCAUGAUAUGAAUUGGUCAGCCAUGUAGAUUGGUGUGUUAAAUUGUUUGUUCGCUUUAUAAACUGAACUAGUCAACCAUGUAGAUUCGUGGAUUACAAUAUUGUUAUAUGUUCAUAAUGUAUUUAUUUUCAAGUGUACAAAUUUUUAUUCGGUGUGUAUAAAUACUUAUUUUGUGAGUUUUUUCAAUUUGUUCAAGGUAUAUAGAUCUUUUGUUUCAUUAGUUCAUAUAAUUUGUUCCACAUGUAUUCAUUUUUUUUCUGUGAGUUCAUUUAAUUUGUUCUAUGAGUAUAAUUUUUCCUUGAGUUCGUAUAAUUUAUUCCAGAUAUAUGUAUGGAAAAAAAUCUUCCAACUUGAUGCUCAUAUUCUACUAUUUUGUCUUACAAUAUUUGGUUUUGUAGAUUAAAUUGUUCGAUGAUGUGGAUUUAUUUAUUCAUGAUGUUCAGUUUCUCUUUUUGUCUUGUACAAUCAAAUGUUCGUGAUGUUCAUCUUCUUGUUCGCAUCAUACCUUUGUUAUUCGUCAUGUUUAAUUUUUUGUUUGCAAAAAAUAAUAAUUUGUUCAUGACGUUCGAGUAUUUGUUCACAGUAGUUAAAUAAUUAAUCCAUAUGUAAAAAAAUAUCUUUUAAAAAAUAUUACCAAACAUAGUCAGGUGGAGUCUUGUUUUGAAGAUCUCGUCAUAAUAAAUGUAAUGGUGCAAAUAAAAUUUAAUUUGGAUGUUCAGUUUAGGAGUUAUGAUUUUUUAAAUUUGCAUGUACGUCGGUCGCGUCAUCAUUUUUGUCUUUUCUGCAUGCAUGCAUGCAUGCUCUCUCCAUGGACUCUUGCAUGCAUGCAAACUGUUUGGAACUUAAAAAAACUAUAAAAUCUUACACCAAACAUCAAAAUUAAAUUCCGAUUGUACCAUUGGAUUUCUAAAAAUAAAGCUUUACAACAAGAUCUCACUUGACUAUAUUUGGACGAAUUUUUUUAUUCACAUUUUUUAAUCAAGGUUGCAUAUUCUGUGAGAUAUAUACACGUGGAACAAAUUAUACAAACCCAUGGAACAAAACAAUUGCAUACAUCAAACAAGAUAUAUGAACUCAAAGAAUAUGUUUAAUUUUUUGUUCGCAGAAAAUAGUUAUUUGUCCGUGGUGUUCAAACAUUUGUCCGUAAUAGCCAUAUCUAAAAAAUAUUUAAAAAAUAUUCUCCAAACAUAUUCAAGUGGGAUUUUGUUUUGAAAUUCUUAUUAUAAAAAAAUUAAUGGUAUAAUCGAAAUUUGAUUUGAAGGUCCGUUUCAAGAAUUAUGAUUUUUUAGUUUUUGGACUCUCUUGCAUGUGGAUGACAUCACCAACUUUAGUGAGCUAUUACUUCACUCGAUUCUUGCACCCGCGCAGCCCAAUAAUCAUCAUGCAGCCCACCAAUCACGCUGCAGGCCGGUAACAGAAGGUGACAACGACUGACCUAUCGUCUUUCUGCGGUGCAUAACUGCACCCGGGGAACAGGUUGGUGGCGAACGGGUGGAAGGAGGAAUCGGAUGGUGAGGGUAAGAUGUGAGGGGGUAGUUUGUUUUUUUUAAUUCUCACUUCUUUCAUCAUAAAAUUAAUAUUAUAAUAUCUAUAGUGUCUUAUAGCAAAUAUACGAACUUGAAGAGUGCCUACGAGCAAAGGUGAAAUUCAGUAGUGUCCAUCAGCAAAUAUCAACAUUGAUGAAUGUACCGCAACAAAAUUACCUAAUUUGAAAAUAUAUAAACUCAAAGGCCGAAAGCCCAAAGGCCCAUCGUGCCAGUCAAGAAGCCCUCACCGCGGGCGGCCCAGUAUCCACAACCACCAUCCAAUCCAGUUUCCCCACGUCGCCACGUGACCACCAGCACCUCUAGAAACUUCCUCCUCGCCUCCGCCUCCGCCUUCCGCUUCCUCCCAGGCAGCCCCAAACCCACGAAACCCUCCUCUCCUCGCCGCCGCGCCGCCGCGCCGCCGCUUCCUCCUCCUCCCGCUGCCCACCCCCGGACCCAACCCUACCUUCGCGACAGCGGGAAUCGGAGCCGCGGGACAGGAUGCCGCCGAAGAAGGCCGCCCCGUCGAAGGCGGAGCUGGCCAAGAAGCAGAAGGUCGUGGAGGACAAGACCUUCGGGCUCAAGAACAAGAACAAGAGCAAGAACGUCCAGAAGUACGUCCAGUCCCUGCACCAGGCCGUCCAGCCCAAGCCCGACCCGACCAAGACCGCCGCCAAGGUACCGGAGAACGCUCAGAUCGAGAGCCCCCGCGGGCGCUUCCGUCGCUUCUUCCUCCGAUUGCCUGGCUCUUCUGAUUUUCCUCCUUUUCUUUGAUGUGGAUGUGGAUGUGUGUGCACAGAAAAAAAAGGAGGAGGAGAAGGCGCGCGAGAAGGAGCUCAAUGAUCUGUUCAAGGUCGCCGUCAGCCAGCCCAAGGUCCCAGUUGGUACGGUCUCUUCUCCUUGUGCUUAGGCAUCUUAAGUUGUCCUAUCCUAUAUAUUGCUGUAUAGUUCGUAUCGGUUUACAUGUGGAUGAAAUGAGUGCUACACAGUUCCAUUCGAUGUCAUUUAGUAUCAAAGUGGUCUGUGCAAUAUAAGUAUAAUCAAUUGACAUGGUUUUUUUAGUUUGUUCAGUGUAAAGUUGUGCAUUGGGAAAUGCCAACACCUUAGAGCUCUUUCAUGCCAUGUAGAGUGGACAUAAAUAUAGCAAGUUAUUAGGAUUGGUACAACAUGGUAGUUUUACGUGUUGUGGCUGCUAUCCUGGUGAAAGUCCGACAGAUGCUGAUGCCUCAAAUUAUGCUCUGCAGGUGUUGAUCCCAAGUCAAUAGUGUGCGAGUUCUUCAAGGUUGGCCAGUGCCAGAAGGGUUUUAAAUGCAAAUUCUCACAUGACCUGAAUGUCCAGAGGAAGGGUGAGAAGAUUGAUAUCUACACAGACAAGCGUGAUGCAGGUAUUGGACAAACAUUGCUUGGACUAUCACUUUCUUCUGUUCAAAUGGUUUUGUAUAAAUUCAUAUGCUAUUUGUUAUUGCCAGAAACUAUGGAGGACUGGGAUCAGGAAACUUUGGAGAAGGUUGUUGAAUCGAAAAGGACAGAGUAUCAGCAGAACAAGCCUACUGAUAUUGUACGCACUACUCUCAGCCUAUUUUGCUGUCAAUCACUAAUUCUAUCCUGUCAAAUGUCGCAUCACUUUCUAUGUUCCUUUGCAUGUCAUAGUAUGUUAAUAUCUAUAUUUAUCAAGUUUCAAACUAGGUAGAGUUGUUGUUAACCAUCUUGGUCAUUAAAUUUGAAACAUUCAGGAGAUGAAAUCAUAAUUAAGCAACUUAACACGCUGGCUGUAAAAUUUACUUAGAGGUUAUACUAGUCAAUCGACAUGUAGAAAAGCUUCAUGUCUGUCAUAUGCUGACUAACUGAAUGCAACUGUAUAGGCACUGAAUAUCAUGAGUGCAAUUUUAGAAAGAUUCACCAUGCUAUCAUAUUCUGAUGUAUUGGCAUCUGAGCUAGCGUUCCAAUUUUUUAUUGUCUAUAGCUUUCAUAAUCAGUGUUUUAUUUUGUCAUAUGAUGUUGUUUGUUUUCUUUAUAAACAUGGUAUUACAACGGUUUCUUUCGCCUUCAGUUGGUAAUAUGAAUUUAUUUGCACUAGUGCCUUGUCUACUCAGUCGGCAACCUGUUGUUAAAUAGGAAAGCAUUUUUGGUAAUUUGUUUUUUCUGUGCAGGUCUGCAAGUACUUUCUUGAUGCCGUGGAGAAGAAACAGUAUGGAUGGUUUUGGGUUUGCCCAAAUGGUGGUAAGGAUUGCCACUACAGGCAUGCCCUUCCACCUGGAUAUGUGCUAAAAUCCCAAAUGAAGGCCUUACUGGAGGAAGAGAGUGAUAAGAUAGCCAUUGAAGAUGAGAUUGAAGAUCAGGUAAAUGAAGUGUAAUAAGCAUCAUUAUCUGGAACUGUGAAGUCCCUGAUUCCCCCAUUUCUGUUUUGUAAUUGGAUUCCUUUAACGUUGUUAUUACAUAUUGUCUUGAUGUGUUGGUUUUGCAGCGUAAAAAGACAAAGACUACCACCCCUAUGACCACAGAAUUGUUCAUGGAAUGGAAGAGAAAGAAGGCAGAAGAAAGAGAAGCUGGCCAAGCUGCGUUGAAGGCAGAGAGGGCUAAGAAUGAUCGCAUGAGGUAACCUUCAUUUCUUUUAGCUGAUUGUUUUCUGCCUUUCUCGAUUUACUAACUGUGGUUGCAUUUGUUUCCAGUGGUCGUGAGUUGUUCAUGGCUGAUGCAAGUGUGUUCGUUGACGAUGCGGAAGCAUAUGAAGUCUAUGAGAGAGAGGAAGAGUCUGAGGCCAACGAAGAAUCGGUAAAUUUACCUUCCUUUGAUGAUAUGUGUUCCAUUUUUAGUAGGUUAGUAAGGUGAGAGUUUGAGAGUGUGCGCACCUGGCCCGGCCCCAUUCGUGCCCACAGAACACACAAAUUAUCCCACAGCCCACCCAAAUGGAAGCAAAGUGGUAUAUGUCAUGUCAGUUCUCACUGAAAUUAUUAUGUACUUGUUCUGUGUCUUAAUGAAGGAAACACAAAAAUGAGUAGGCUCAAGAAACUUACCUUGGUCCAGACAUGAUUUACCAUAUCCAUCCUAUAUCCAUGUAUAUCUUGGCCUCCAAAAUGUCCAAAACAUAAAGUGCAUGUUGCUGUUCAGAUCUAGACUUGGUGCCUUGGUCUUUAGCUUGGAGGUCCCCCCCCCCUCCCUCCUUCCCUCCCUCCCUCCCUUGCUCUCCCUCACCCUCCCUCCCUCCAUGUGAUAGAAGAUCAAAACAUCUGAAAUUGCUCUAUAUAAGUAGUGUCUAGACUCAGGAAAUUUAAUUUAUGUACCUUUUUUUAGUGAGCACGAGGCAAAUCCACAGGUGGCUAUGUAUGCUCAUUUAGAAAUUUGAUAGAUAAUCUUUGGAUGCAUUUAAGAAUCAAAGAAGUAACCUGGCGAUCUGAACAGAUUCUAUGGACUGCGGAGAUUCAUUUUUCUCACACCUGAUAUUAUUCUCAGAACGUGUUACUGCUAUGAUGAUGUUCACAGCUAUAUCUCUCAUCCACCUUUAUCCCGAAAAGAAAUAUAUAGGCAUGGAAUUAAUAAAUUGGAAAGAUAUCCAAGUCGUGGAUCUGAAAGCACAUUUAUAUUAGUUUACUGAACUGAAAUGUGUAUCCUAGAAAAGGAGCUUUUGUUAUCAAAUUUCAAGUUAAAGGUGAAUUGCUUUCAGUACCUGGGGAAUGGCUUAAUUCACUGUAUGUUUUAGCAUGGAAUUUGGCAGAUGCUAUGAUAGUACAUCUAUAUGCAGGCUGGUUUGCAAUUAACUUGCACAGUAUUAUUCUCUCUUAUAGAUCUAUUCUAACAUGUAUUUUGCACCCCAUGUGACAGAGCAAGAAAAGUCAGGAUGCAGGUCCAAGUUCAUCAACUUCUAAUGGCAAGGAGGUUGAGGAACUAGAUGACGAAGAUAUCGAUAUUGAUGAUGACUUGGACAUUGAUGAAUUAAAUGAACUUGAAGCAAGCCUGUCGAGAACGUCCAUCCAAAUCCGAGAGCCUGGCGAGGGAACAUCAUCCUGAGCAGUAGUAUUAUGGAAGAUCGUUGAGAAUUAGCUCUCCAUUUUUGGGCUCCCAAACCAAUCAAGUUGCUUUUGGAAACAGAAAGGUGGAGCAUAGAUGCAAGUGGAAAUGAUUUCUAGUUCACUAGCUAUCUUGAGGGAGCAACGAUCAACGAAUGACCCAGUGUUAUGAUUACAUGACAAUUGAUGUUUGCCGUGUGCCCUUUUAUCAUGUAACCCUUUUGGGGAACAUGUUGGUACUUGUGAAUAACAGGACUAAAUUAUUUUUGUUGACUUUGCGUGGACUCACGAGUAAAAUUUUGAUGCGAUCGUUACACCGCGAUGGGUCACAAUUAUGAUAGUUUGCUGAUUUUAUUCAAGCGCUGACGUGAGUAAUCUUCAGUUAUGCACUGUCUUUUAUCAGCAACCCGUUAUUAUGAUAAAGUUUUAUCAGCAACCUGUUAUUAUGAUUAUAUUUUUCCCUUUCUGCUGCGAAGAAUCGCAUUACAAUGUUUUUUUUACUGAACAUGUUUUGUUUCUUGUUGUGUACUUGCAUAUAUUUUCCCCAUCCAUUGUAUCAAUAAAAAUGAUUUUAUUAAAUUCCUGUUGCACUUAACAAAUCGGUUGUCUCAUUUGUAAGAUAUGUUUACUUGGAUCCUUGCAGUACUUUGCGUUGUACUGCUAUGGUGCUAACCUGAAAGUUUUCGUAAAUUUUAUGCGAAAUAUUUUACUUGUAAGAUCAAGCUGAUUCGCAUCAAUGAUAUUAGGGACGUAUGAUUCCCCUUUUCUUAGUCAACACCUGCAUUUGUUCCUGUCGAUUUGCCGAAUCAUUCAUGGAUAAGUACGGCACCAAAGCUUGUAGUAACUUCGAUGCGAUGACUCUGAGUCAAGGAAAGUCGCACGUACUAUAGCUCUGUUCGGCAUGAAAGAAUAUAUGGGGUGUUUGGAUACACCUCCUAAAGUCUAGUAAUGUUUAAAUACUAAUUAGGAGUAUUAACCAUAGAUUAUUUAUAAAAUCCAUUGCAUAGAUGGAUUCUAAUUCGCGAGACGAAUCUAUUAAACCUAAUUAGUUCAUGAUUUGAUAAUGUGCUGCUACAGUAAAUAUGUGGUAAUCAUGGAUUAAUUAGGCUCAAUAGAUUCGUCUCGUGAAUUAAUAUAGGGGUUCUGCAAUUAGUUUUAUAGCUAGCUCAUGUUUAGUCUUUCUAAUUAGCAUUCGAAUAUCCGAUGUGACACUCCUAAAGUUUAGGAUCUCGUAUCCAAACACGCUAUCGGCAUUUCAGGUCGAACAUGUCAAAUUCUUGCGAGGGUUGUUGGGUUCUGCUAUACAUGAUAGAUCCGCGAAUCGGACGGGGUUCGCGAGACAUCCACGGUGGCAGCCGUCCUAUCGAGCUUUAAAGAUGCGCUCCAUGCAUGCUUACUCAGCUUGGCCGGCCGGCCGGCGGGUUGGAGGAUAUGCGGAUCUGCCGUUCGUGCGGCCACGGAUCUCACACGCACUGCGCACCAGCGCACGCUCGCUCGCGGUUGCGCUUGCGCACCGGCCGGCCACAGGCGCGCGCGCGCGUGCCUGGCUGCUCAACGAUUAUUUACACAUAGAUGCUUGCCGCAGCACUGGAUGCACAAACAGUACAGGGGGACGGGGUGUGCAACACAUAACAUCAUCUUCGUUAUCAUGCUUGGUUACAUAUAUACAUGUAACACGAGAAAGAGCAGAACAUAAAACUCGCCGACCCUCCCUAUUUAGUACUUAAGCUGUCACACCCCCUGAUUCCCUGAUUAGUGAUUACUACUCAACAUGACACAACAGAACCAUAAGCUUGGACACUCAUCAGAAGACGCGGCACAUUACUACCACCGUAACAACAAGUGCACACUUCCCUGAUGAAAACCAGUAAACAUUUAUGAAGGGGUUAUUUGUCUUAGAAGCAUAAACUCCUCAUACAUCACACUGGUGCCUAAAAAGACUGCCCUCUAACAGUUGGAGACUUCAGGCCCAUCUCCCUCCUUAAUUCUUCCAUCAAACUGUUCAUCAAGAUUCUAGAAGAAAGAUUGUAACAGGUCAUCCUCUACCUAGAGUAUGCCAAUCAGUAUGGGUUUAUCAGCUCAAGAACUAUUCAUGAUUGCCUAGCCUAAGCUUUUGAAUUCAUCCACUUGUGCAAAUCCACCAGGAAAGAGGUAGUUUUAAAAUUGGAUUUUGAGAAAACCUUUGAUAAAAUUGAACACCAGGCCAUUAUAAAAAUUUUGCAGAAUAAAGGCUUUGGUCCUAAGUGGUUGGGUGGAUCAGAGACAUUCUACAUCUGGAACUUCUUCCGUCCUCCUUAAUGGUGUCCCUGGCAAGGUCUUCCAUUGCAAGAGAGGAGUCAGACAAGGAGACCCAUUAUCUCCACUCCUAUUUGUCUUAGCAGCAAACUUACUUCAGUCCAUGGUUAAUCAAGCAAAAUCCCAAGGCCUUAUCCACCUACCCAUCCUGGAGAGAGCAGGGAAAGAUUUCCCAAUUGUACAAUAUGCAGAUGAUAGUCUUUUUUGAUGGGUACGUGUACCAGGGUACCCUCAGAAUAGGGGCUAAGGUAACUAGGCGCCAAAAGACCAAAGGCAACAGCUAGAAGCAGCCCAGACGAUGUUGCGGCCCACCGCCCGACCUCCCUCGGUUGGAAGACAAAGCCACGACACGCUGGCUCAGCUAGCUUGGGGGUGGAGCCCGCAAGGGGCCCACAACGUCUCACCCACUCCUUGACUCAGGAAGACCUGCGCCGUAUGAGAGCCAUUAUUGCACGGCGUGGUCCCCCUGACCAUCCCACGUCGGAGACAUGACCGGGCGAGGGGAGCCGACCUUUAACUAGGGGGUCCGAGGGUGAGGCUACACCCUUCGGACCGCCCAGGAUGGCCUGCAGGAUGAGGUCACGCACAGCCGUACGUGCCUCAGCAUCAACAUCACCUUCGCCGUCAAGGAGACCCAUCAAGAUUAAGGCCAUGCCACCAUCCCAGGCCGGUACGGUCCCGCAGGCGAUAUGGGACCCAACGACAAAGGUUACGGCGAGGAGCGGCCAUGAGCGCACUAAAGAGGUCGGGGAAAGCCGGGACUAGCGGCGCGCCCCGUCCAGGCCACUAAUCACGGCCCGGCCAUUCGUCACCAGUAGGACGACAGCAACAACACCCGUCCCAUUCACUGCCACGGAGUUGGCGGACGGGAUGGGAGAACGCCACGAAACAAGAGCGUGUGUAAGCAACCCACGCCGCACAUGAGCUACCGUACAAGGCGUGCGAAGUCCACGACCAGCCAAAGGGAUAGGACAAUGAUGCCUCUUGGUGCAAGGAAUACUUGACCAUGCCACAACUCCCGACCUCUAAGGUUGGGGACCCCUCCAUUUCUCAACGUUGUUGUCCGGUCCCUAGCUUAUAUAAGGGGAAGCGGGCCUCCUUUCUCUCUCUCAUUCAAUGCAUACACCCACACAUCGCACGAACGCUUGCUUGCAAGCACCCCGUUGUAAGCCCAGUGCACUUGAUCCAAGGAACACAACUCCUGCCGAAACUGGAUGUAGGGAUUUUUUUCCCCAAAACCAGUAUAACUACUUGUCUCUUGUAUGCUAGCCAUCAGAAGUGAGGAGAGCGCGACGUAUACUCACUAGUCGGCAAUCCGAAACACCGACACUUUUGAUAAUGGAAGCUUGUCCUAGGCAGUUGCUACUUCUAAAGGACCUCCUCAACUCCUUUGCAGCAACCAUUGGCCUAAAGGUUAACUACAAUAAGUCAGUAAUGAUCCCAAUAAACAUAUCUGAGGAAAGACUGCAAUCUUUGUCGAGCACUUUCAAUUGCCGAAAAGACUCCCUGCCAUUUACAUACUUGGGUCUCCUUUAGGCACCACUAAGCCUAAAAUUGAAGAAUUUUUGCCUCUAGUAUAGAGAAUUGAAAGAAGGUUGACUAGCGCAUAUGCAUUCCUCUCCCAAGCUGGUAAACUCGAGAUGGUAAACUAUGUACUUCAGUCUUUUAUUGUUGUACUCUCAAGCUACACAAGGGAGUGAUCAAACAACUGGAUAAAUACAAAAAACACUGCCUCUGGAAGGGAUUAGAUCUAAAAGCAGCAUGGCCAAUGGUGUGUCUACCCAAAAAGGAGGGAGUAUUAGGUGUUUUAAACCUCUCCACUCAUAAUGACUCUGAAAUUCCUACAGAAAUUCUACUCCAGAGCCGAUAUACCUUGGGUGCAUCUAGUUUGGGAUAACUAUUACUUAAAUGGUCACUUACCUGGAUAACAAAGGAAAUGUUCCUUCUGGUGGAGAGACAUUGUUAAAUUAUUAGAUCAAUUCAAAGGAAUUUCCUCAAUAACUGUACAUGAUGGCUCUUCAGUGCUCCUCUGGCAAGAUAUGUGGAAUGGACAGAUUUUGCAAAAAAAUACCCCGAGCUCUUCUCCUUUGCCGAGAACUCCAAUAUAAUUUAUCAAAAAGAAGUGAGCAACACUCAACUGUCAAGCAACUUCCAGCUACCCUAUCCAUCCAAGCUCAUCAGCAAGUCUUGGAACUGCAAGGCACCCUGCUUGAUAACCAACAACUGACUAGUCCUAACCAGCGGAGUUACAUAUGAGGUAAUGCAAACUUCUCAGCAUCCAAAGUAUACAAAUCCUUAAUUGGUCACAGAAGCAUACACUCAGCAUUUACCUAGUUAUGGAGAUCUAAAUGCCAGAUGAAACAUAAAGUCUUUUUCUAGUUGUUGCUCAAGGAUAGAGUGAACACAAGAGAUCUCUUGAGGCGGAAAAGAAUGGUUUUGGAAUCAUACACCUGUGAUCUAUGCAUCCUGCAGAGGUCUGAAACUGUGGCACAUCUCUUCCUUCGUUGCAAUUUUGCUAAAGCAUGUUGGGAAUCCAUUGGCAUCUCAGUGGUCACUACGAGACCUAUCCUUCAAAUCUUCUCCAGGAUCAAGCAGCAGUUAGGAGUUCCCUUUUUUAUGGAGAUCAUCAUCCUCAUGACAUGGAGCAUUUGGAAAACAAGAAAUGACUGGGUAUUCAAUGAUAUGAACCCUUCAGUCAUUGAUUGCAAAUGGAGAUUCAUUGCUGAAUUCUCCCUUAUCCUCCAUAGAGCUAAACCCAGUCUAGUCAAUGUUAUGAACUAAUGGCUUCUUUCUCUUUGCUUUGUUUUCUGUAGCCUUUGCUUUCUUUCCUUUUCCUUCUUUUCUUGCAUUCUGUAACUUUUAUUCCCCUUUAUUAAUAUAUAUGAAUCAGUAGGGGCUCUGCCCCUUCUGUUCCUUAAAAAAAAAACAUUUUUGUCUGGCAGCUUGCCAGCCAAGCACACACAAAAGCAAACAUUACCUACCGGCCGGUCUAAGAGGAGACAGAGGUGGUUUCCUCUCUCUAGCUAGUCGUCUCUGAUCAUUUCUUCCUGGCCCCGGCGUCUUUCUUGCCGGUGCCGGCGCCGGCCGUCUUGUCGCAGGCGAGGACAGCCGCCGUGGCCAGCGCAGCCGCGAUGUCCCUGACGAUCCUCUCCUUCACCUGGCCCCUCCGUGGCAGCGGGUUCCCUGACGGCGUCUUGCUGAUGGAUCGCCUGAUGACCGGAGCGGCGUCGCUGCUAGCAGUUGCCAUUGACUACGGCGUUCUAUACUAGCCACUACAGGCUUGGUCUGGUGAGUGGCGACUCUAGCUAAGCAGGAGCAGUGUGCUGUGUACUUUGUGAAGAGCUGGCAACCUGACACCAACACCUACCCAAAACUGGGUAUAAAUAGGGGAGGGAAAGGCAAGACCGCACGAGGCAUGGAUGGGGAGAUGCAUGGAAUGCAAAGUGCACGCCUGGCGAGCCUCGGAUCCUCACCGGCGCCGAUUGGCCGGCGGCGGGGCGGAUGGAUGAGGAAUAAUGGGUGGUGGUGGUCAAGCCGUCAACGGCGAGCAUGGUGCGUGGCCGGUUCGGCGCAUCUGAUAUUCGCAGUGCGUUAGUUCGGAUUCUCUGAACAGCAGAAUGGAUGUUGCGAACUGCUUGCAACUGAAAAAAAAAAGUGUGCUAAUCCGGAGAGAUUGUAUGCCGCGCGCAUGACCUCACGGCCGGAACGUCACAUGCUGCCGUGUCGAUGUCAUCGUGUGGCUCGGGGAGAUAGGAAAGAGAAGGCAACAUGUUCGGCCCACUUUUAUCUUCUCAGGCGACAGUAGGUUGGGUUCCAGAUAUUCAGUUCCCGCGAACAACAGCAGUGCUGGCAGCUGUUUAAUUUGCAUGCAACAUCUCGUGGGUUCUAUACUAUUCGAUCAUAUAAAUGUAUUAGACUUCAUGUGAAUAUACGAUCCAUUUAAUAAAAAAAACAUAUUGUUAUAUUUGCCUAAACAUUAUUAUGCAAUUUGAAAAACAAAAACUAACGAUAAACGCGUGUGUUUUCAUAUACUUUUGUUGUGGAUACAGGUAGAAGAGAUAAGAGGGAAUAAAAUGAAUAAUCCGAGAAUCGCAAGUAGUUCGUAAUUUAGAUGUUUAUCACAGACGCAGAUUUCACUAGCAUCUCCAUGUGUCACCCUGAGCUAUCUUUUAGCCUAACUUAGUGCUCCUAAUCAUUGCGCAUAUCGCUCCUAAUCCAACCAACACUUCACCAAUAGAAUGACGAACCUAUCGCCAUGCUCCGGCCGUUGUAAUGGUUUUCCUGCCUGGCGAUGUGAUAACUGAUAACGGCCUAGUUUGUUGGCAUGAUGGUUACUGAUUAACGUUAACGGUAGAUAAAUUAUGUUGAUCCUGGCGAUGCUAAUCUCUGUAUUGUGGCUUUGUUUAAGUUCAGUGCCGAUAGUAUCACAUCGAACAAAUACGGGGACCUUUCUACGGAUCCUCUCUCUCUCUCUCUCUCUCUCUCUCUCUCUCUCACUGCUGAGUGAUAUCUAGAACUUAUACUGCAUACAUCUGCUGCACAAUAUUUAAUUGUCAGGUACAGAUGACAAAGUACAGGUUCAUUAACAUCAGCACAAAGGCCAGCCAUACCACUCGUAGAGAAUAGAGAGAGUGGGAGACCCAUGGAUCAGCGGAGUUCGGAGACUGCACCGGGUCACCGCCUCUACGGGGUAUGAAUUACGAUGCCGCCGCCGCCGCCGCCGGUGGCUGUCAGUUAACCAUCCGUCCAUCCGCAUGCAUGGUGGAGGCACGAGGCGUAAAAAAUUCGUGGCCGCGCACGGGCAGCCGCCGGCACACGCCACAUACUCGUGCUCCGCGAACAGGUCCGAGUGGUGAUGCGCGCGCGGCAGCCUCAUGGCACCCCCUCUGUUUUCGAAUUCAGUUCAGAGCAGUCACCCAACUGUUUUCGAGUUCAGUUCAGAGCAGUGACCCCCUCUGUUUUCGAGUUCUAGUUCAGAGCAGCCACCCCUCUGUUUCUGAAUUCAGUUCAGAGCAGCCACCACUCUGUUUGCGAAUCAUGUUAAGCAGCUGGCACAAUGGUUCAGAAACGCAUAUCGGCCAAUUCGAUCUGAAUACAACAUGGUUUGGAAAUUGAAAGCCCAAUUACCAUCAAAUCUGCUACCAUAUAUUGCUUCGUAGUUCUUGCAUAAAACAACAAAGACAGUAAUGGACAUCUCUCUCCACAUUGCUUCACCCAACAACAGAGCUCUAAGCUGCACUCCAGCAGCUUAAAACCUGAAAGUGACCAAGGGGGGGAGAACCAAAGGAGCAAAACUAGGCACCAACAACUGCCAGAUUAAAGAAGAAAACUAAAGCUAAUCACUUCGCACAAUCCCUAUGUCAAGCACUACACACCGUACAACUAAAGUGUUCGAUCAGCUAGCAGCAGCUUGAUCAUCUCCCGAAGCUGCGCUCCCUGUUGGCGGCUGCGGCGCCGGCGCCGGCCGGUGCCGCGAGGCCGCCCAGCAGGGUCUUGGCGAUCUGCAGCUUGAGCUGCCCCCUCUUGAGCGGCGGCCUCUUCUCCUUGUUGCCGCCGCAGCCGUUGCAGGGGUACCCGUACUCCAUGGCAAGCUUCUCCGCUUCCUUUCUCACUCGAUGGCCGCUCGCUCUGUGCGUGAGCUUCUGGUAGCUCCCGGUGGCCUGCGCCGCUGGUGGAGAAGGCGAGAGAUGGCUGGCUGGCUUGGGGAUGGAGUGUGCAGGGCAGCGUGCAUUUUUAUAGCCGGAGGCCGGAGAUUUCAGACAUGUUGCAUUGGGAGAUGGAAACGCGCGUUGAUCAUCCAUUUGCUGGGGUCCGGGAAUAAAGUUGCAGGCUUGUUUUGAGCAUGUGGUUGUCUCUGUUGCGAGUGGGGAAGGCGUCACUUGACUUCGCACUAGCAGGCUAGAAGCUCUCGUUCCCUUCCCGACUACUUUUUCCUCGUCUUCUCAUAGUUCUUGGAAGCAUCCAUGAGGAGACAGGCAGGCCAAUGAGCAAAAACACAGGAUUAGGGAGGGAUUAGCCUCAUGUCAAUCAGAGAUUUGGCGAUCUAAUCUCGUGCAAAAUGCCCAUUUGGACCAGGAAAACAUGCAAUUGAGAAUUGAACCUUUCCAGUUUUCCUGUACCCUGUAAAAUAAAAUUAGGUCAUCCGAAAACAUGCAAUUGAGAAAUGUUGCAGAGUUCACCAGAUCUCCAUUUGCUUAUUAGAACAAAAAACAUUGCAUUAUCUAAAAAUGGAUUGCAUACCCUUUACUUGCGCUUUUCAGUAACAGUAUUGUUUUCCCCCGUACUUUCAGUUUCAGGCUUUUUCAGUACCGCCAAUCCGCUAUAGAGAUAUGGUAGCAUAGGAUAUUCUCCGGCGCCUCUUUCAGUCUUUCUAGGAGCAAUGCUUGUCUCUGCGUUCAAGAAUACAUUUUUUUCUUUUUGUGUGAUUUUCAAGGUUACACUUUGAUAUUUUUCUCAUGUUAUACUGUUUAUAGUUAAAAUUUAAAUAGUGUGCAAAAAAUAAGUUUUUUUACACUAAAUAAACUCUAGUUUGACUGAUUAUUGAUAAAAUAUUCAAUUUUGAUUUUUUAAAUUAAAAUCUUCCUGGUAUUUUUUAAUGAAGAAUAUGGCCUGCUAACUUCUUCCGUGGUGACCGAACUAAACCUUGUGAGAAUGUCACAUGAACGUACAUGUAGAAGUACUUAACUUUUUCACUUCAAAAUAAUCAUGGAUUAUAGAAACAUCGCUACAUUUUGAGAUAACCGAAUUGUAAUAGCCUCAUGUGGAUUUAAUAGAUAUUUUAAAUGUUUUCGAUACAAUGUAAGAGAGACAAGAGGAAAACCUGUUUCUCGUAUCUCAAGUGCAUAUAUCUAUAUUUUAUCACAUGCUCUUUAAAUAUAAGUUAUUUUAUGAUUUUUUGUUAUUCAGAUGGUUUAAGGUUAUGAGUAUAUGAAGAACUAGGCAGAUGGGCUCAUUGAACGAUUGGCUUAAAGAGAUUCAUAAAGAAAAAUACUUUCACAACAUACAAGGAUUUUCUAUUUUAAUACCAUAUUUUUACAUACAAAUUUAUAGUGAAAUUUCUAGCAGUGGCCAUGCCAAUAUCUUGAAUGGACUUAUGUUCACGAUCCAACUCCAAGGAGUACACACUUUUCCCCAGCAUCUCUGUAUAUCACAUUUUAGUUAUCUUUUAGCCUAACCGGUGAUCCUAAUCAUUGCUCAGAACGCUACUAAGAUCCAACAACUCUACAUUAGUAGCAGGUUCCUAUCGCCAUGCUCUGGUUGUUGUAGUGGAAUUCCCUCCUGGCGAUGUGAUACGGUGAUGGUUAAUGAUUAACCGUGACAUUACUUUCCCAUAUUAUAUACUCCACCCUAUCGCCUAAUCCUGAUUUUCCUGUGGCCUGCGAAUUUUCCGGAGCAGCCACCCCCCACCGCAGACCACUCUGUUCCUAGCUUCUGUUGCGGAUGAUUAGCAAGCAGGGGAGUGCGUGUCACUGUAUAUGGGCUUUGUUUAUGGUCUAGCGUCGAUAGUAUCAUAUCGAGCAAAUAUGAAAAUCGCUUUUCGAGAGAUUUCUUUGCACUGUUGAGAUCUCGGAUAUCUAGUACUGAUGCCGCAUAAGAUUUCCAACUCAAUAUUAAAUGAUCAGAUGCGCAUAGCAAAUGCAGGUUGAUUAGCUUCACCGUGAAAGCCACAUUAGAGUAUUCUUAUCUGCGGCAUUAGUUUAUCAUCAGGUGAGCGGAGGUUGGCUCCCUCCACUGGUACAGAAUCGAGAUCCAGCGGAUCAGUGGCGUGGUGGGACGGCACUGGAUCGCCUGGGUACGCCCGCUCAGCGCAACGGGUGGUAGCCGAUCGGUUACCAUCACCGCGCACGGCGGCACGAGGCAGGAGGAAGCGCCCGGCAAGUGUCGUGCUCCGGAGCCUGGAUUACGGUGAAUCUGACGACCGGAGCCGUGUUCCGCGGCCAAAUUGAAUCUGACGAUUCGGCGCGGAGGAAGCCGGAAAACCUCCGUGCAGAGGAGUGAGGAGAGCAGUUCCACUUCCACCUCGGAUUCUCGGUUCAGCGCAGCUGGACAGCACGCGAGAGAGCCGAGAGGGGAAAGUAAAGGGUGAAUGAAUCGGCUCAACUGCAGUGCAGUUCUAAAAUUAAGCACAGUGUUGGUCUUUAUAAAAAAAAUAAAACACAGUGUUACCAACGAAACCAUGUUAUAGCACCAUAACUGAUAACUCAUCGAAACCAUGUUAUAAGUUAUCUCUUAGAACUUGGAACGCAAGAACAGCAAGGAGUCCUUUUCUCUCUACAUCGAUUCACAGGACCCUAAAAACUGCGUGUUCCAGGAGCCAAGAACCUGAAGAUGAGCGCACGAAAGGGGAAGGGGAUCCAAGGGGCAAAACUUGGCACCAGCAGGCAACAGGCACCGCCGAAUUGAGGACAAACAACACUCUCUAUGUCAAGUACCACAGAUGCAUCUACACAGCUAGCUGCUACUGCUAGCUCUGCUUAUCUCCCGAAGCUGCGAUCCCUGUUCUUGGAGCCGGCCGGCACCACGAGGCCGCCCAGCAGGGUCCUUGCGAUCUGCAGCUUGAGCUGCCCCCUCUUGAGCGGCGGCCUCUUCUCCUUGUUACCGCCGCAGCCGUUGUAGGGGUAGCCGUACUCCAUUGCUCCUCUGCUUUGCUUCCUUGCUCUACCGCUGGGCGCUGGGCGCUCAGUCAGUGAGUGAGCAGCUGGUGGCCUGAGCUGCUGAUGUUCGGGAAGGCGAGAGCUGGAUUGCUUGCUUGAGGAGGGAGCGUGCGGGUGCAUUUUUAUAGCCGAAGUUCUCAGACAUGUGACAUCGCUGGGGAAGGUGGAAACGCGCGUUUCUUCUUUGUUUACUUCGGGUGCUGGGGUCCGGGAAUAAAGUUCACAUUGUUUUGAGCCAUGUGCAUGGUGGUUACCUCUAUUGCAACUUGUGAGUGAGUGGGAGCACGGAGCAGCUGCAGCGUGACAGCGUCCUUCCUCACUCUCGGUUCCAUUCCUCGCUGCCUUUCUCCUCACCUUAUCCGGCAGAUUACUGCCAGAUCAUCCAUGAAAAUUUAGUUCAUUUAUAUUUGAACACUUAGUGAUCCAAUGUGUUUUUAUAGAUUUUGUAAGUGCUCUUAAAAAGCUAGACAAAGUAAUAUGUAGUCCCUGUCAUUUUAGUUUUCUGCUAAAGCAAACUCCUUUUAACUUUGAUCAAAUUUAUAAAAAAAAUAUUAAGAUCUACAAUUUCAAAUAAACAUACUAUGAAGAAAUAUUUCAUGGUGAAUUUAAUGAAACAAAUUUGACGUUGUAGAUAUUGGUGCAUUUUUAAAAUAAAUUUAGUAGAAGUUAGAUAAGUUUGACUUACAAAACUAAACGACAUACAUUUUAAAAACGGGGACUAAUUAAGAAUCUCAAUUAAAUGUUACGUUUGUAUCACGUGCACUCUUUGAGGUCUCUAAGUUAAAUACCUCUUUUAUAGAUGUUGAGAUCACUAAAUUAGUAGUGUCUAGUGUCUACCACUGGCAGCCAGUAAGAUUUGCAUCUCGUUAAUAAAAUGGUCAGAUACACUGUUACAGCAAAUGCGGAUUGAUCUACGUCGCUAGAAAAGCCACACCAAGUACUUUCUUUUGUUGCGCACAACAUUAGUUUAGCACUAUAAAGUUUGACUUUAGUUCGAUUUAGAAUAGCACGCUUAGUUUCAUUUUCAAAAAGAAUUUGAAGGGCGUGUCAGCUCACAAAGACACAAAAUCACAGAAAAGCCAACAGAUGGCCGUCCGCCUGCACGGUGGUGUCAGCAAUCACGCUAAACCAACUGCAGAACUCAGCGCGGCCGUGGGAAUCCCAGGAGAGCGGUGAAGCCCCGUGCCGAGUGGCCCGGACACCGGAGGCGGAGGCCGGAGCGUUGGUGGUGGCUGGUGGGUGAUGCGGCUAACUGAACCGGACAAUUUGACGCCGAAGAAGCCUCGCGACGAAACGGGCAAACGGCCGAGGUCAGUGCAACACAAUGAAAAGGGGGGAGAUCCAUUGCCUCACUCAACUGCUACAAUGCAGUUGUGAGAAGUUACCCAGCCAAUUAACAUCAAAACCAUUUUAUAGCAUCAUCACAUAAUGUUAGGAUUUCGUACACAAGAACAAGAAGGAAUAGUAACCUCUCUCUUUGCAUUGCUUGAUACACUAGGAGGAGAGUUCCAAGCUAAGAACAUGAAGGAAAGUGAGCAGAAGGGGGAGACCUAAACUGGGGCAAAAACUUGGCACCAACAGGCACCAAAUUAAAGAGAAAACAAAAACUCUUCACUUUGCACAAUCGCUAUGUCAAGCGCCACAGGAUGCAUAUCCUCAGAUAGCUGCCGCUGCCGCUGCAACUGCAAGCACUGCUCCAGUGCUCCUGCUUUGCUUAUCUCCCAAAGCUGCGCUCCCUGUUCUUGGCGCCCGGCGCAACAAGGCUGCCAAAAAGGGUCCUGGCGAUCUGCAGCUUGAGCUGCCCCCGCUUGAGCGGCGGCCUCUUCUCCUUGUUGCUGCCGCAGCCGUUGUAGGGGUACCCGUACUCCAUUGCUAGCUUCUCCUCUCCUCUUCCUCUCUAGCUCGUGAGCUUCUUCUAGCUCCUGGUGCCCUGCGCUGCUGCUGGUGGAGAAGGCGAGAGCUGGAUGGAUGCCUUGGCCUGGUGCAGGGCACCGUGCAUUUUUAUAGCUGGAGUUUUCAGACAUGUUGCGUUGGGAUGUGGGAACGCGCGUUCUUCCUUGUUUACUCCAGCCGCUGGGGUCCGGGAAAAAAGUUAACUUUGUUUUCAGUCAUGUUCUCUGUUGCGAGUGGGAGCAGCGUCACUCUCACAGCAAUGUUCUCUUUC
RNAcentral lists this long non-coding RNA (24150 nucleotides) under Setaria italica (foxtail millet). RNAcentral describes it as "long non-coding RNA (SITA_LNC004078)". Lineage: Eukaryota; Viridiplantae; Streptophyta; Magnoliopsida; Poales; Poaceae. The record is from RNAcentral.